AUGGAACAGAAGCCCCAGGACAGCAGGAGAGGCCUCACCUGCCGAGAGGUGCCCCUGGCGGCCAGGCUGCUGCUGGCCAUGGCCCUCAUGGAUGAGUGGUUCUACCUCUGCCCUGACCACUUCUUCAUUGCCUCUUGAUGGUCCAUGGCAGAUGCCAGGCACUGUCCCUGUGGCCACUUCAGGAUAGGACAGAGUCAAAAACCGCUCACUUGGGCUGCCCUGUGAGGAGCUGAUAACAGAAGUGAGGCAGCUGAGCUGUGUCGGGGAAGGAGCUGUGAAGAGG
This 283-nucleotide long non-coding RNA is filed under the name Homo sapiens (human). RNAcentral's name for it is "non-protein coding lnc-GNG2-4:1". Lineage: Eukaryota; Metazoa; Chordata; Mammalia; Primates; Hominidae. The record is from RNAcentral.